GGAAAGAAAGAAGAGGAGGAGGAGAAGGAGGAGGAAGGAGCGCGUCCUCGAAACCACAUAAUUUGCCCUGCCAACCAGGAAUUUCUCGCGAAACUUUCGACUCUGUUUCCUCCACUUCUGCUUUUCUCCACAAAAUAUUCUUCAAAAUGCGAUGGCAAAAGAGAAAAUCGACUUUAUAACAGGGAGCCAACACGAAGCACCUUUCAUUUCCUGUCUUUCCACACGGACGAAUUGUCUUACAGAUGGACGUCAUCAUUCCGAGCCUGGCUUUAGCUCGUGCGAUCUAAAACGAAAGAUGAUAGAUAGAUCUUUGGUAUAUACCGAAUCAAUGAAAUAUAAAAGUUUGAAAGACCUUCUAUAAAUUCGGACGUAAUCAUUCAGAACGGAACAGAAAGAGGAUACUUAUCUCAAAAAGGAGCAUCUGAAAUACUCGCGCAUUGAAGGAAAACUUGGAUGUGUACAGACGUCCACGUGCAGUAUACUCGGCUGCUUUUCUUGCUGCCUCUCGAACGUCUUCCUGAAGAUGGAUCCAGAAUAUUCUGCAUCCAGUUCUACAUUUACCACGUCCGAAUAACCAAUUAUAGUACAAGUAAAUACAUCGUAGAGGAACAGGACGAAUAUGGCUAUCCAUAAACAACCAAAGCAGCUAUCGUAAAACAACCAAAAGGAUAAUCACCGACCUGAACGAACUUCCAACACAUCCAGAAUACUGUCGCCGAACAACAUAUCUAACAACAGGAAAAAUAUUUUAAAAACCCUCUCAUUUAGCGAACAAGUAAUGGACAUCCAUAUAUUAUUAAGACAUUCUUAUAACAUAUAUAAUAUUUUACUAACAAGCAAACCAUACUUUAAU
Molecule: long non-coding RNA, 853 nt
Organism: Vespula pensylvanica (western yellowjacket)
Lineage: Eukaryota; Metazoa; Arthropoda; Insecta; Hymenoptera; Vespidae
Exons: 4
Source: RefSeq, a predicted model, not a curated record